Molecule: ribosomal RNA, 444 nt
Filed under: uncultured organism
Description: partial 16S ribosomal RNA
Rfam family: Bacterial small subunit ribosomal RNA
Source: RNAcentral
ACUCCUACGGGAGGCAGCAGUGGGGAAUAUUGGACAAUGGGCGCAAGCCUGAUCCAGCCAUGCCGCGUGAGUGAUGAAGGCCCUAGGGUUGUAAAGCUCUUUCACCGGUGAAGAUAAUGACGGUAACCGGAGAAGAAGCCCCGGCUAACUUCGUGCCAGCAGCCGCGGUAAUACGAAGGGGGCUAGCGUUGUUCGGAUUUACUGGGCGUAAAGCGCACGUAGGCGGACUAUUAAGUCAGGGGUGAAAUCCCGGGGCUCAACCCCGGAACUGCCUUUGAUACUGGUAGUCUUGAGUUCGAGAGAGGUGAGUGGAAUUCCGAGUGUAGAGGUGAAAUUCGUAGAUAUUCGGAGGAACACCAGUGGCGAAGGCGGCUCACUGGCUCGAUACUGACGCUGAGGUGCGAAAGCGUGGGGAGCAAACAGGAUUAGAAACCCCAGUAGUCC